Molecule: ribosomal RNA, 2922 nt
Filed under: Klebsiella pneumoniae
Lineage: Bacteria; Pseudomonadati; Pseudomonadota; Gammaproteobacteria; Enterobacterales; Enterobacteriaceae
Description: 23S ribosomal RNA
Rfam family: Bacterial large subunit ribosomal RNA
Source: RNAcentral
GGGUUGUGAGGUUAAGCGACUAAGCGUACACGGUGGAUGCCCUGGCAGUCAGAGGCGAUGAAGGACGUGCUAAUCUGCGAAAAGCGUCGGUAAGGUGAUAUGAACCGUUAUAACCGGCGAUGUCCGAAUGGGGAAACCCAGUGCAAUUCGUUGCACUAUCGUUAACUGAAUACAUAGGUUAACGAGGCGAACCGGGGGAACUGAAACAUCUAAGUACCCCGAGGAAAAGAAAUCAACCGAGAUUCCCCCAGUAGCGGCGAGCGAACGGGGAGCAGCCCAGAGUCUGAAUCAGCUUGUGUGUUAGUGGAACGGUCUGGAAAGUCCGACGGUACAGGGUGAUAGUCCCGUACACCAAAAUGCACAGGCUGUGAACUCGAAGAGUAGGGCGGGACACGUGGUAUCCUGUCUGAAUAUGGGGGACCAUCCUCCAAGGCUAAAUACUCCUGACUGACCGAUAGUGAACCAGUACCGUGAGGGAAAGGCGAAAAGAACCCCGGCGAGGGGAGUGAAAAAGAACCUGAAACCGUGUACGUACAAGCAGUGGGAGCACCUUCGGGUGUGACUGCGUACCUUUUGUAUAAUGGGUCAGCGACUUAUAUUCUGUAGCAAGGUUAACCGUAUAGGGGAGCCGCAGGGAAACCGAGUCUUAACUGGGCGUUAAGUUGCAGGGUAUAGACCCGAAACCCGGUGAUCUAGCCAUGGGCAGGUUGAAGGUUGGGUAACACUAACUGGAGGACCGAACCGACUAAUGUUGAAAAAUUAGCGGAUGACUUGUGGCUGGGGGUGAAAGGCCAAUCAAACCGGGAGAUAGCUGGUUCUCCCCGAAAGCUAUUUAGGUAGCGCCUCGUGAAUUCAUCUUCGGGGGUAGAGCACUGUUUCGGCUAGGGGGUCAUCCCGACUUACCAACCCGAUGCAAACUACGAAUACCGAAGAAUGUUAUCACGGGAGACACACGGCGGGUGCUAACGUCCGUCGUGAAGAGGGAAACAACCCAGACCGCCAGCUAAGGUCCCAAAGUCAUGGUUAAGUGGGAAACGAUGUGGGAAGGCACAGACAGCCAGGAUGUUGGCUUAGAAGCAGCCAUCAUUUAAAGAAAGCGUAAUAGCUCACUGGUCGAGUCGGCCUGCGCGGAAGAUGUAACGGGGCUAAACCAUGCACCGAAGCUGCGGCAGCGACACUAUGUGUUGUUGGGUAGGGGAGCGUUCUGUAAGCCUGCGAAGGUGACCUGUGAGGGUUGCUGGAGGUAUCAGAAGUGCGAAUGCUGACAUAAGUAACGAUAAAGCGGGUGAAAAGCCCGCUCGCCGGAAGACCAAGGGUUCCUGUCCAACGUUAAUCGGGGCAGGGUGAGUCGACCCCUAAGGCGAGGCCGAAAGGCGUAGUCGAUGGGAAACAGGUUAAUAUUCCUGUACUUGGUGUUACUGCGAAGGGGGGACGGAGAAGGCUAUGUUAGCCGGGCGACGGUUGUCCCGGUUUAAGCAUGUAGGCUGGUUAUCCAGGCAAAUCCGGAUAAUCAAGGCUGAGGUGUGAUGACGAGGCACUACGGUGCUGAAGUAACAAAUGCCCUGCUUCCAGGAAAAGCCUCUAAGCAUCAGGUAACAUCAAAUCGUACCCCAAACCGACACAGGUGGUCAGGUAGAGAAUACCAAGGCGCUUGAGAGAACUCGGGUGAAGGAACUAGGCAAAAUGGUGCCGUAACUUCGGGAGAAGGCACGCUGGUGUGUAGGUGAAGUCCCUGCGGAUGGAGCUGAGACCAGUCGAAGAUACCAGCUGGCUGCAACUGUUUAUUAAAAACACAGCACUGUGCAAACACGAAAGUGGACGUAUACGGUGUGACGCCUGCCCGGUGCCGGAAGGUUAAUUGAUGGGGUUAUCCGUAAGGAGAAGCUCUUGAUCGAAGCCCCGGUAAACGGCGGCCGUAACUAUAACGGUCCUAAGGUAGCGAAAUUCCUUGUCGGGUAAGUUCCGACCUGCACGAAUGGCGUAAUGAUGGCCAGGCUGUCUCCACCCGAGACUCAGUGAAAUUGAACUCGCUGUGAAGAUGCAGUGUACCCGCGGCAAGACGGAAAGACCCCGUGAACCUUUACUAUAGCUUGACACUGAACAUUGAGCCUUGAUGUGUAGGAUAGGUGGGAGGCUUUGAAGCGUGGACGCCAGUCUGCGUGGAGCCAACCUUGAAAUACCACCCUUUAAUGUUUGAUGUUCUAACGUUGGCCCCUUACCGGGGUUGCGGACAGUGUCUGGUGGGUAGUUUGACUGGGGCGGUCUCCUCCCAAAGCGUAACGGAGGAGCACGAAGGUUAGCUAAUCCUGGUCGGACAUCAGGAGGUUAGUGCAAUGGCAUAAGCUAGCUUGACUGCGAGCGUGACGGCGCGAGCAGGUGCGAAAGCAGGUCAUAGUGAUCCGGUGGUUCUGAAUGGAAGGGCCAUCGCUCAACGGAUAAAAGGUACUCCGGGGAUAACAGGCUGAUACCGCCCAAGAGUUCAUAUCGACGGCGGUGUUUGGCACCUCGAUGUCGGCUCAUCACAUCCUGGGGCUGAAGUAGGUCCCAAGGGUAUGGCUGUUCGCCAUUUAAAGUGGUACGCGAGCUGGGUUUAGAACGUCGUGAGACAGUUCGGUCCCUAUCUGCCGUGGGCGCUGGAGAAUUGAGGGGGGCUGCUCCUAGUACGAGAGGACCGGAGUGGACGCAUCACUGGUGUUCGGGUUGUCAUGCCAAUGGCACUGCCCGGUAGCUAAAUGCGGAAGAGAUAAGUGCUGAAAGCAUCUAAGCACGAAACUUGCCCCGAGAUGAGUUCUCCCUGAGACUUUAAGUCUCCUGAAGGAACGUUGAAGACGACGACGUUGAUAGGCCGGGUGUGUAAGCGCAGCGAUGCGUUGAGCUAACCGGUACUAAUGAACCGUGAGGCUUAACCUUACAACGCCGAAG